GACGAACGCUGGCGGCGUGCUUAACACAUGCAAGUCGAACGGUAAGGCCCUGCCUUUGUGUGGUGCUCGAGUGGCGAACGGGUGAGUAACACGUGAGUAACCUGCCCUUGACUCUGGGAUAACCUCAGGAAACUGGGGCUAAUACCGGAUAGGAGCUCCUGCUGCAUGUUCGGCGGUGGAAAGGUUCGGCGGUUGGGGAUGGACUCGCGGCUUAUCAGCUUGUUGGUGGGGUAGUGGCUUACCAAGGCUUUGACGGGUAGCCGGCCUGAGAGGGUGACCGGCCACAUUGGGACUGAGAUACGGCCCAGACUCCUACGGGAGGCAGCAGUGGGGAAUAUUGCACAAUGGGCGGAAGCCUGAUGCAGCAACGCCGCGUGAGGGAUGACGGCCUUCGGGUUGUAAACCGCUUUCGGCUGUGACGAAGCGUAAGUGACGGUAAUGGGUGAAGAAGCACCGGCUAACUACGUG
This 468-nucleotide ribosomal RNA is filed under the name uncultured bacterium. RNAcentral describes it as "partial 16S ribosomal RNA". It matches the Rfam family "Bacterial small subunit ribosomal RNA", at positions 28 to 507 of the family's 1533-position model. The record is from RNAcentral.